UACACAGAGCACCGGGAGGAAGCUGGACGACACAGCCCAGCCAGAGGGACUUGGGGCCGCCCUCCGACUUGUGCUUGCCCUGCCUCCACGCCACUGACCUGCCUCCUCCCAACCCCUCUGCCACCAAGUGGACUCUCUCCAGGGUGAAAGCAGAGGACUGUGGACAAGCCCAGGCUUCCUGACUGCAGACUAUGAAAUGGAGCAAACAAAAUGCAAAUCUUUGGGGUCAGGGAACAGGGAUGCAGGAGCAGAAAACAAACCUAACACAAACAGCCUGAAUUUCGACAUCUCCUGCCUGGUGGAGCUGUGGAAACCAGUAAUUCCCCUGGACAGGAAGGAUUUCCGGUUGGACUUAAUGCCCACGUCCAGAGGCGGCCAGCUGCUGAGGGGCCCAGGAGAGAGCAGAGUCCAUUAGAGAAGGGACAUGGGGGACCCAAGAGGAUGGCCCAGUUCUGGGAGGAAGCUGAGGCCCCAUAGGAAAGGUGUCUCCUGGGGUCACCCGUGGACAUGUGGUAGAACCAGGAUUUGAACUUUUCGAGGUCUCCCUUCCCACUGCAGUGUUUCAGAGACAGAUCUGGGACUGACCUCCAGUUAGCAACCCAAACUCAGAAUUGCCAAGGUGGGACAAGGAGUGAAGGCCCCAAGAGCUGGGGUGACCUUGAAGAACAAGAAGACMAAGAAGGAAGAGAAGGAGUAGGAGGGCAGCUCUGAUCAUGAUGGUUAUAGGGUCAUAUAGAGCCCCCUGUGUUGGUCCCUGACAUAGAGCAGAAAACCAGACCAAUACCCAGGCCAGAGAGGUAGAUUUGUAGGGCCCACCCACCACAGCACCAGAUCCCAAUGGGGGCUCAGUGUCCUCAGGCACUUAGGGAAAUCGGGACAUCCUGAGGUCUGCAGUGGACAGCCAGGCUGCUCCCGCCCACAGCACAGCAGUGACCACUCUGCCCUGAGGUGGGAACCACUGUGGUAUGGCGGUUCCUCACGCCAGGAGGCUGUGUCUAGAUGGCCAUCCAGACUUUCUGGCCUCAUGCAAUCCCACAGGAGCCCAGGGAGGGGAUAAUAUGUCUAGGGCAGGUGGAGAAACUGAGGCUGGCGAAGCCCCUGACAUCCAAGCCCUACAACCUCUGCUCCACUCUCCGACCUCCACGGUGUGCUGUUUCUGAACCUGACAAGGGGGGCUGAGUGAAUGUCUAUGAGCCCAUUCGGUCUUCCAUGAACUGCCACCUCUGGGCCCUUCAUCCUCAGGACUAGGCCUGGUGCCUGGCUAGGGCCAGCCCUUCAUGGGCUGAGCCGACAGGCCCCACCUGCCCUCAGACUUCCUGACCCUGGCUCCCCAGGGCCUGGAAAACCCGGGGCCAGGCAUCCAAAGGAUGGCUGUCCUUCAAGCUGUCAUCCUCCCGGGGUGUCUGGGAGCAGGGACAAGGGCAGGGAGGGGCCAAAAGGAAGUGGGGUAGUGGCUGAGGGUAGGCUCCCCUCUCAGUCAGGCGUUCUGGCUGUUCCCCAGAGCUCUGGCCUGAGCCAGGAACAGCCUGUCCUCAGCUCAARGGCCCCUCCAACACCGCCCCCACCAUUGAUCCUAAGGCUGGAUUCCCAGCAGAGAGGUUAGAAGCACUUCCCUGCCCCCACCCRACCCACUCGCGGGUGCACACACACGUUCGCCUUCUCCCCCACUAGUACACAACUGACACCAUCGCACACGCAAACAYGCAUUCACAGACACCUCACAAGCCCAGCUGCAGCAGGUGGAGUGCCUGGGGCUGCCUCUGAGGCCAGCUAGGCUCUGCUGAGGGCGGGGUCUGCAGCCCAGGCCCCCAGCCUCUACCCCUCCCUUGUCCCCUCUUGGCCAACGCUCACUUUAGGGAUGAGGAAUCACUAUAGGGAGAUCAGCUUCCUGUGAACCUGCCCACCUCCUCCCCCACAGGCCUCUGUCCCUCACCGGAAACGGAGGAGCCAGGUAGGCCAGAGAGGCCAACCAAGCCUCGGCCCAACACAGCGAGCAAAAUCCUGUGCUCCUACUUCACACACUGGAAGGAAUUCAGGUUCUGUGAGGUGUGAUAACGACACUGGGAUCCCAUAAGAAAAGUCCAGGACAACACCUGGGCUUUGUUUUCAAACAAUCCAGAAUGGCGGGGGUGGCGGCGCGGACAGGGGGUGCUGUUGAAAUGAGACUGGCCAGCUGCUGAGGAGCACGGCUGGGAACUGGAACUGCAGUACUUGAUGCUCUGCUCUCCUCUGUGUCUUUUCCACACCUGAGCAGGAGAUGAGCUCACAGGAGGAAACUGAGAUUCAGAGAGGUUGAGUGACUUGCUUAAGGUCACAGAACUGGCAAGGAGCAGAGCCCACAUUCUCCUCCCAAAGCUACCCCCCUUCCCAAGUCCCUGCCUCCAGGGGACAGAGGUACAGAGUCCGAUCCCCCUCUCCUGCUGCUUCCUGCAACUCCCACGCAGCCCAUGGGUCAGCAGCCUUACCCCAGCCCCCUCUGCCUGCCCUGGCCCCCUGGCUCUGCCCAUCAUAGCCUGGCRGCCUCCCUGGGCAUCAUCUAGUACAGGCCCAUGUUUCAUGGAGACCUGGAUAGAAGCCAGAACCCAGGCCCAGUCCUUCAAGAAGCACCCAACUUUCUUGCCAUUUCUAUCCUUGGAAAGCUCCCAGGAGCCCCUCAGGGGUAGGGGCAGCUCUGUCCAUCUCUUCUGUGCCCAGAGCGAGCAAGACAAGUUGGCACCUGUGUCUUCUCUCCACGGACAUGUUUCUCCUUCCUCCUCCUGGAGCCCUGAAGUGCGUCCAGUUGCCCUCCCACUUCUCCCUCUUGGACAAGAAGCCUCCAGACCUCAAAGCCAGGAGCUGAGCAKCGUCCCCUCUACCACCUUCUCUCCAUCCCCCCUCCCUGUUCUGGUCACUAAGCUGAGCCCAGCUCCACAGCCCCUCUGCACCCAGCUCCUGCAUCUGGUUGGACAAUUUGGGGUUCAAAUCCUGCCUUGUAAAUCCAGGACCAUGGCAUCUGCUGUGACCUGUCUCCACCUCCCUACCCUCAUCCUGGGUGGGACACUAGGUCACCUGCCUGACUCAGUUUCCUCCCUUGUUAAUGGGAAUGAGAAUGCUCACCUACCUACCAGAGGGUUGUGGCCAAGAUUAAACUGCAUAAGGCAGACAGGAGCUUGGCACAUGGGGCACACUCAAGAACUGUUAGCCACUGUGCUCAUCAAAGAGGURGUGAUGGCCACCUGGGGCCCCUGGAUUUCUCUCUCGGCCUCCUCCCAUCCACUUCUUGAGCCAUGCGCUCUAAAACCUGCGUCCUGACAGGCUACAGGACCAUGCCCACACCUUGCCUCAGAGCAGGAACUUGGAUCUGUUGAUUGUCCUUGGCCUACCGGCCACUUCCCUCCCUUCCCCAAGUACCCACAUUCUGUUAGUCCAAUUCUUUUGACUGGGCUUCUGCCCCAGUUCUGUUGUACUGUGGCAAAAGGCCCUUGCCAGGCACAUAAAUUUCUAGUCCUCCUUUUCCUGGGAACCUGACCAUAGUCCUGCAUCAAGGUGCAGACCACUUUWUAUGGCCUGCACCCCCUGCACAAACUAGCUAGCCCCAAAUUCUCUUCCCUGUGCUUUCCUUUUGCACCCAUCAGCUGGUCCCCUUCUGCCCUCUGGUGUCAAAACUUGAGAACUACAACUGUUUGCUGGCUGGCAAACCUGUACUGCAUAGGAGAUAAAUGGGGAUUUUUUUUUUUUCCUUUCCCCCAAAUCCCAAGUGAGUCCUGAUCUCCUUAGGCCUCAAGCUUGAGUAAAAUUUCAAGUGGUAAUAUCGUGCUUUCUCCCAWUGAAUGUAAAAACAAUGCAUGCACAAUAUGAAGUGAAAACAACAAAGAUAGGCAGAAAGAUGUGAACACCCCAGUAGUACAUCAUUGUUUGUAAAAGUCAAUCUUUUUUUUUUUCUUAAUCACCUUUCUGUUUGGCAUGGUGGAAAGAUCUGGAAUCAGAAGAGCCAGCGUUUGAUCUGGCGGCUGUUAGAGGGUCAGUUCACAUCCCUCUGCCCCUCAGGUCUUAGUUCCCCCAUUGAUCUAAACUUUCAGGACAUUGGGUUCCAGCUAGAACUCUUUACUCGGGCCCUCCUGACCUGCGAUUAAGUCUGGAGUGGACAGAGCCCACAGGCUGCCUGGAGUCAUCCAUGUAGUACGUCUGAGAGCCUGCAAAAUCCCCAGAAGCCUAGGAAUAUAUAUAGUCACAUGCUGCAUAAUUAAUGUCAGUUAACAACACACCACAUAUACAACAAUGGACCCAUAGGAUUAUAUUGCCUCAGGUCCUUGUAACCACCUUAGCUUAUGUAAGUAUACUAUGCGACAUUCACACAAGAAUGCAAUCAUCCUGUGAUGCAGUUCUCAGAACAUGCCCCUUGAAUAACAUGCAUUAUUCAAGGCGUGAUUAUAUAAGCAAUCAUAUACUAAUAUUCCUUGACUUAUGUUAGGGUCAAUUCCAACAGCUCCAUUGUAAGUUGACAGUAUUGUAAUUUGAAAAUGCAUUUGAUACAUUGAAUCUAACAAAUAUCAUAGCUUAGCACCAUGGUAUACUAGAGUACUGGUUGUUUACCCUCCUGCUUGCAGCUCUUGCUGCUAUUGCCCAACAUCACAAGGGAGUGUUGUAUUGCUAGCCCAGAAAAAAUUUCAAAAUUCCAAAUUCUAGUAUGGUUUCUACUGAAUGCAUACUGCUUAUACACCAUUGUUACUCAGAACAUCAUAAGUCAAACUAUCAUAAAUUGAGGACCAUCUGUAAUCAACAAGGAAUUGUCUCUGUAAAAUAAGAGAUCUUAUAACUUGACAACAAAAUCACUAAUUUAAAAACACACAAAGGCUCUGAAUAGACUUUUCUUCAAAAAAUAUAUAUACAAAGGUCCAAUAAGCACGAGAAGACGCUCAACAUCACUAGCCCCUGGGAGGUAUAAAAAACAAAAUCACAAUAAUAAUAUUGUGGUUUAAUAAUGCCACUUUACAUCCACAGGAAAGGCUAGAAUAAAAAAGAUAAUAGUGAGUAUUGGGAGGUGUAUGUAGGGAAUUGGAACCCUCACGCAUUGCUGGUAGAAUUGUAURAUAUAGCURUUUUGGAAAACAGUUUGACAACUCCUAUGAAAGUUAAGAAAGUUAAGAAUAAAGUUACCRUUGGUAUAUAAAACUAUUUUUCACAUUUAAGUAAAAUGUAUGUCUACUUUUUAUAUUUAAAUUAAAAUAUUAUUUGCAAUUAGUCUGUGAUAAGUGAAACAAUAUGUAGUUUACCCCAAAGAAAUCACUAAAAAGUAAGAUGAAGAAUUAAAUCUAAUGAGUCAAUGAGAUAGAAACGGAAUCACUUGGGGGGAAAAAAAAUUAAUCCAAAAGAAGAAAACAGAAGGCAGAUGGGACCAAUAGGUGGGUGACUUAAAUUUACAUAUAUACCAUUACAUAUAAAUGUUCUAAAUAUUUUGUUCAAUGUCAGAUUGGAUCAGACAGUAAUGCUCAAUGCUCUGGUUGUCGGUCCACUGUCUCUUAGCUCUAGAGCCUCCCUUCUUGGCCAUUUGUGACACUGACAGUUCUCCCUUGCCACUUGGAAUAUAUUAGGUUAUAUCAGCAGAGGGCACUGCAGAGAGUCUUCAACAUUUCCAUUUGCUCUUAGGCAUCACACUUUCCCUUUCAAAACAUUGUGUUGUUUGUCUCUUGUUUGGAUCCUGACUACRUAAAACUGACACCAGGAGUGGUCCCACGAGAUAAUCCCCGUAAAAAUGGGAUUUGGAGGUUGGUUUGGUUGUGCCCCUGGACUUGAAGGCAAAGCUGAACUACCUGCCAAUGAGAAAUGGUAUGCUAAUAAUUCCUAGCAUGCAGUGACAUCCAAACUAGUCACAUGUGGCCAAGUGCCAAAAGCAUGUGCCUUCAGAGGCCAGUUGGCUGGAGAUCUUGACCAUUGUGACAGGGAUGAUGACCAUGAAGACUGUGAUGUAGGGUGAAUUCUUUUGUGGCUACUUGAUUGCUUACCAAAUAAAAAUGAAAUACGUUUAUCCUUUAAUUCUCAGUGUAAGUAAUAGUCUGAGAACCAGAAAUCUUCCAUGAUAACUCCAAAAGAUUCUCCAGUUUCUUGUAGACACUGGGCUGAUAUCACGUGAAAUGAAACAAAAACUUAAUUGUGUAGGUUGAUGAAUCACACUAUCAUUUGA
This is a non-coding RNA of Urocitellus parryii (Arctic ground squirrel), 6160 nucleotides long. The record is from RefSeq and is a predicted model, not a curated record. NCBI's taxonomy places the organism in Eukaryota, Metazoa, Chordata, Mammalia, Rodentia, Sciuridae.